Long non-coding RNA from Felis catus (domestic cat), 964 nucleotides. RefSeq lists it as uncharacterized. The record is from RefSeq and is a predicted model, not a curated record. The transcript is spliced from 3 exons. NCBI's taxonomy places the organism in Eukaryota, Metazoa, Chordata, Mammalia, Carnivora, Felidae.
CAAGUCUCACCCUGGGAAAAAUCAAAUUUUUCAUGGCUUUCUAAAGAUAUUUGUCUAUGUUUAAUUUCUCUGAGUAAUUUAUAUACUUCAGGCUAAAGAGUAACGAGAUCGUCACCAUCACUUUGCCUUUUGUAGAGUUUCUUUUAUUUUUUAAAGAAGGCAGCAAAGACCUCAUAUUACUUCUGCAUUUCCUAAAAAAGCAAAAAGCAUUUAAAGUGUUGGGUAAAAUAUCUGUCCCUAAAUUAUAAAAAAAAAUGAAAUACAACAAAAUAAUGAAGCAAUUUUAGGGGUUGGCUUCCUUUUUCUAGGCACUGUGAAAUUCACUAAAGGUGAAUUUUUUUAAUGUCACCGUUUUUCACCCUCCAGAGAGGAUAUUUGCUCCAUUGUGUCCAGGAUCAGCCAGACCAGGGACUUGAAAUGUGAACCUGUUUUCUGAACGUACCUGAAGGGGAAAAUCUGCCUUGGAGAAAUCAAGCUGAUAUUCAGGGGUGUCACUUCAUUUUAGUUAUUUGACAGCCUGAAGAAGUGUUUAAUUUUCUAAAUAACGUUACAAACCAAACUAAAGGGAAAACAUGUGGUAUAAAGCUUUUCAACAUUGUCCGUCUUCUGACGGGUGAAGUCUUCUUGAGAAAGUACCUUUGCCCAAUAAUACUGCUCCUCGGCCAAGAGUUGUAAUGUCCAUGGACAUUAUAAGGAACUAUAAAUGUUAGAAGGCUAGAGGAAUACAUUUGGCAAGAUAAAGGAAAAUAUCUCAGGAUGUUGGCAGAAGGCGCAAGAAUGACACUUCCCUCAGAUGGGACAGGCAGGCUCUGUGGCCGCGUAAACACGCUGUAACCGAGUUCUUUGCUGAUUUUUACAGAGUUUCAUUAGCUCCCAAGAAGAACUGAGGGUGCUCAAUUGUCUAGUGCUGGCCUGCCCCACAAGAGCCUGGGGGCUCCUUUCCCCUAACCCAGAACUGGCAGCG